CGCGGCCUAUCAGCUUGUUGGUACGGUAAUGGCGUACCAAGGCAAUGACGGGUAGCGGGUGUGAGAGCAUGACCCGCCUCACUGGGACUGAGACACUGCCCAGACUCCUACGGGAGGCUGCAGUCAAGAAUCUUCCGCAAUGGGCGAAAGCCUGACGGAGCGACACCGCGUGGAGGACGAAGGCCUUUUGGUUGUAAACUCCUUUUCUGGGGGAAUAAAUGAUGAAGGUACCCCAGGAAUAAGCACCGGCUAACUACGUGCCAGCAGCCGCGGUAAUACGUAGGGUGCAAGCGUUAUCCGGAAUCAUUGGGCGUAAAGCGUUCGUAGGUGGCUAAGUAAGUUUGUAGUUAAAUCUGGUCGCUCAACGAUCAGUUUGUUACGAAAACUGCUUGGCUAGAGAUUGGCAGAGGCAACUGGAAUUCCACAUGUAGGGGUAAAAUCCGUUGAUAUGUGGAGGAACACCAAAAGCGAAGGCAGGUUGCUGGGCCAUUUCUGACACUGAGGAACGAAAGCGUGGGGAGCAAACAGGAUUAGAUACCCUGGUAGUCCACGCCGUAAACGAUGGAUACUCGAUGUAGGGAGGAAUCGACCCCUCUCUGUGUCCAAGCUAACGCGUUAAGUACCCCGCCUGGGGAGUACGG
This 641-nucleotide ribosomal RNA is filed under the name uncultured bacterium. Its description in RNAcentral is "bacterial SSU rRNA". It matches the Rfam family "Bacterial small subunit ribosomal RNA", at positions 232 to 885 of the family's 1533-position model. The record is from RNAcentral.